RNAcentral lists this long non-coding RNA (1267 nucleotides) under Monodelphis domestica (gray short-tailed opossum). RNAcentral describes it as "lncRNA (ENSMODG00000034204.2)". Lineage: Eukaryota; Metazoa; Chordata; Mammalia; Didelphimorphia; Didelphidae. The record is from RNAcentral.
UGUCAGGGAAGGUUGGCUGAAUGGUUUGUAGACUGUACGUGUGUGCAUACGUGUGUGUGUGUGUGUGUGUGUGUGUGUGUUAAAGAUCAGCUAUUCUGAAGUCUCUUUCCAAAGCUUAGCUAGACUCUAAAGCAGAAGACUGGAUGGCUUGUACUGCCAUUGUGGGAGGGAAGAAGCAGAAUUGUUGGGAGUCAUUUUUAUCACAGAGCUCACAGGCAGUCCUGAAUUUGAAAUUGAUUGGAAGAAUUCAAAGCCCAGUGGUAUCAAAGACCCAUCACCUGAGAAACCUAAGAACUAACAACAUGGCUUCUUCAUCAGGAAUUGUCUCUAUUUCUUGCAGCAGAUCCAAAUGCCUUUCAGCUCCUCUCUGCAUAGUUGAUAAUUCAGAAGCUUUCCCCUAUGCAGUAAUUAAAGGUGAAUUUUCCAACUCUGUUGGAAAACCUCCUCAAUUUAGCUCUGACAGGUUGUAUUUUAUAAUGAGGUGAAAGGAUAUCACCGCUGGAGAAAAAAACACACCCAUGGACUCUGCUACUCACAAAAGGCUGUCAAGUAGGAUAUGCUUCAAUGUAGUGACUCAUUGUGAGAGAAAUGCUCCUGUUUGGUUCCAGAUUUGCCCUGGCAUAUUUGUAUUCUCAGAACAAACAGCGGGGAAGAAACCAGGAAACUCUUAAAACAGUUAAACUUGCUCUAACAGCUCAGGCUCUUUCCCCCUCAGAGAUGCCCACACCAGAAUUCCAUAGCCAUAAAUGGUCCUUCAUUACUUCUCUGCUGCCCAUUCAGAAGAUGCCUAAUUAAAGCCAAGCCUUUUGUAUUAAAGGCAGGGCAGGCAUGAAGGAGAGACUACUCUAAUUUUCUCCAGCAUGACUGUAAAUGCUGAGGGUUCUUAUCAACAACAAUCUUUUCUUAGAUCCUACUGGUGGGUCUUCAAUCCCUGUUUUUCCCCCAGAGUUUGUUUUUUUCUUUGAACACAAUUGGUAAAAUUAGAGUGAUUAUCUUUACAGAAGAAAGAAAGAAGGAAAGGAAGGAAGGAAAGAAGGAAAAGAAGAAAGGAAGAAAAAAGAAAGAAAACAAACCACAUAGGCUUAUUUCCUGUUCAAAUUUAUACCUGAGUAUUUGAAGAAAUGCUAUUACAUUGAUUGGCUCUUUGGAGGAAGGAGGAAAGGGAGAGGAUAGUAAAGAAAAAAUUCAUUCCAGGCUGGUGCUGUCAGGCCAAGGUCAGUUCACAGCUUUUGGUGCCACCUCUAAUGGGGCAACUUCCCUUCCCAAG